RNAcentral lists this ribosomal RNA (445 nucleotides) under uncultured bacterium. RNAcentral describes it as "bacterial SSU rRNA". It matches the Rfam family "Bacterial small subunit ribosomal RNA", at positions 331 to 793 of the family's 1533-position model. The record is from RNAcentral.
CCAGACUCCUACGGGAGGCAGCAGUGGGGGAUAUUGCACAAUGGGGGGAACCCUGAUGCAGCGACGCCGCGUGGGUGAAGAAGCGCCUCGGCGCGUAAAGCCCUGUCAGCAGGGAAGAAAAUGACGGUACCUGAAGAAGAAGCCCCGGCUAACUACGUGCCAGCAGCCGCGGUAAUACGUAGGGGGCAAGCGUUAUCCGGAUUUACUGGGUGUAAAGGGGGCGCAGACGGCGAUGCAAGCCAGGAGUGAAAGCCCGGGGCCCAACUGCGGUAGUGCAUUUGGAACUGUAUGGCUGGAGUGCAGGAGAGGCAGGCGGAAUUCCUAGUGUAGCGGUGAAAUGCGUAGAUAUUAGGCGGAACACCAGUGGCGAAGGCGGCCUGCUGGACUGUAACUGACGUUGAGGCUCGAAAGCGUGGGGAGCAAACAGGAUUAGAUACCCUAGUGA